Oryzias javanicus (javanese ricefish) is the source of this 623-nucleotide long non-coding RNA. NCBI's taxonomy places the organism in Eukaryota, Metazoa, Chordata, Actinopteri, Beloniformes, Adrianichthyidae. The record is from Ensembl.
UUUUUUUAAAGCUUUAGGUCAUUGCACUUGACUAAAAUGUUUUCAAUAAAUGAUUCCAAUGUCUAUAUAAAUUCUUCUUUUUACCGUCCAGAGGGCUGGGAAUCAGGCAGAGAAUUUGGUCUUAAAUUUUCAUGUGUAAGAACAUAAAAAGUCCUGAAUUUAGCUGAAGACACGUGUAGGAACCCCGAGUUCUUGACUCGUUAGACGUGUUGGACUGGAUGAGUUAUGGAUGAAUGUUUGUCCUGCAGCUCUGCAGAAGUCUGACAGCGACGUUCAAGCCAUGAAGAAGCAGGCGGAGAACCUGACGGUGGAGUAUGACCGCCUGCUGGAGGAGCACAGCAAACUGCUGGCGAGCAGCGACAAGAAAUCCGACUGAUUGGAAUGAAGGUUGCUUCCGUCUGUUUCCAGCCGGCUGCGUCUUCGUCAUCUCUCGUGUGUCAUGGACUCUGCUCAGCUGUGAUUGGAUGACGAGCCUGUCCGUCAGCCUUUUCUUCAUUCCCUGCUGCUGUUUGUUUUUCUGUUUUGGAAGUUUUGAUUGUGUUCCUGCAGCGUUCUUCUUCUUCUUCUUCUUCUUCUCUGCUGGACUUUGCUUCAUUCUGGCCUCCACUGAAACGGUUCCUGGA